UGGGGAAUAUUGGACAAUGGGGGGAACCCUGAUCCAGCCAUGCCGCGUGUGUGAAGAAGGCCUUAUGGUUGUAAAGCACUUUAAGCGAGGAGGAGGGUACUGGUAUUAAUACUACCAGGUACUGGACGUUACUCGCAGAAUAAGCACCGGCUAACUCUGUGCCAGCAGCCGCGGUAAUACAGAGGGUGCGAGCGUUAAUCGGAUUUACUGGGCGUAAAGCGUGCGUAGGCGGCUAAUUGAGUCGGAUGCGAAAUCCCCGAGCUUAACUUGGGAAUUGCAUUCGAUACUGGUUAGCUAGAGUGUGGGAGAGGAUGGUAGAAUUCCAGGUGUAGCGGUGAAAUGCGUAGAGAUCUGGAGGAAUACCGAUGGCGAAGGCAGCCAUCUGGCCUAACACUGACGCUGAGGUACGAAAGCAUGGGGAGCAAACAGG
RNAcentral lists this ribosomal RNA (430 nucleotides) under Pseudomonadota bacterium. RNAcentral's name for it is "Proteobacteria bacterium partial 16S ribosomal RNA". It matches the Rfam family "Bacterial small subunit ribosomal RNA", at positions 355 to 776 of the family's 1533-position model. The record is from RNAcentral. Lineage: Bacteria; Pseudomonadati; Pseudomonadota.